UUGGUAUGAUCCGAGCUCAGGCACUAAGCGACUGAGCGAGGGGGCGGGGCAGCUGCUGCCUCCAGUGCGCUGUUGGAGAAACGGAGCCAGGCAGACAGAGGAGAACUGAAGUUUGACCAGUCAGAAUCUUUUCCAGAUGGUCCAGGAAAGCCAGGUGGUCCUAUAAAUCCGGUUACUCCAGGUGGUCCAGGAAUUCCAUGUGGUCCAAUAAGUCCAGUAUCUCCUUUAAAGCAGGUGGACCAGCUGGUCCAGGAGGUCCACUGUCUCCUUUGGGACCACGAGGACCUGGAUUCUGACUGUACCCAAUUGGAGCCACCAGGAAAAGGACACAGAAUUGGAGCCAUGCCAUCAUUGUUUAAAUGCAG
Long non-coding RNA from Oreochromis aureus, 365 nucleotides. RefSeq lists it as uncharacterized. NCBI's taxonomy places the organism in Eukaryota, Metazoa, Chordata, Actinopteri, Cichliformes, Cichlidae. The record is from RefSeq and is a predicted model, not a curated record. The transcript is spliced from 3 exons.